RNAcentral lists this ribosomal RNA (383 nucleotides) under uncultured bacterium. RNAcentral's name for it is "bacterial SSU rRNA". It matches the Rfam family "Bacterial small subunit ribosomal RNA", at positions 218 to 617 of the family's 1533-position model. The record is from RNAcentral.
CCAAAGGAUCGGCCCGCGUCUGAUUAGCUAGUUGGUGAGGUAACGGCUCACCAAGGCUACGAUCAGUAGCUGGUCUGAGAGGAUGAUCAGCCACACUGGGACUGAGACACGGCCAGACUCCUACGGGAGGCAGGAGGGGGAAUCUUGGACAAUGGGCGCAAGCCUGAUCCAGCCAUGCCGCGUGAGUGAUGAAGGCCUUAGGGUUGUAAAGCUCUUUCAGCGGGGAAGAUAAUGACGGUACCCGCAGAAGAAGCCCCGGCUUAACUUCGUGCCAGCAGCCGGGUAAAUACGCAAGGGGGCUAGCGUAGCUCGGAAUCACUGGGCGUAAAGCGCACGUAGGCGGUUUCUAAGUCAGGGGUGAACAUCCUGGAGGCUCAACUCCA